This 481-nucleotide ribosomal RNA is filed under the name uncultured bacterium. Its description in RNAcentral is "bacterial SSU rRNA". It matches the Rfam family "Bacterial small subunit ribosomal RNA", at positions 30 to 507 of the family's 1533-position model. The record is from RNAcentral.
UUGAACGCUGGCGGAAUGCUUUACACAUGCAAGUCGAACGGUAACAGGUCUUCGGAUGCUGACGAGUGGCGAACGGGUGAGUAAUGCAUCGGAACGUGCCCAGUCGUGGGGGAUAACGCAGCGAAAGCUGUGCUAAUACCGCAUACGAUCUAUGGAUGAAAGCGGGGGAUCGCAAGACCUCGCGCGAUUGGAGCGGCCGAUAUCAGAUUAGCUAGUUGGUGGGGUAAAGGCCUACCAAGGCUACGAUCUGUAGUUGGUCUGAGAGGACGACCAGCCACACUGGGACUGAGACACGGCCCAGACUCCUACGGGAGGCAGCAGUGGGGAAUUUUGGACAAUGGGCGCAAGCCUGAUCCAGCAAUGCCGCGUGCAGGAAGAAGGCCUUCGGGUUGUAAACUGCUUUUGUCAGGGAAGAAAUCUUCUGGGCUAAUACCCCGGGAGGAUGACGGUACCUGAAGAAUAAGCACCGGCUAACUACGUG